Molecule: ribosomal RNA, 733 nt
Filed under: Polaribacter sp.
Lineage: Bacteria; Pseudomonadati; Bacteroidota; Flavobacteriia; Flavobacteriales; Flavobacteriaceae
Description: partial 23S ribosomal RNA
Rfam family: Bacterial large subunit ribosomal RNA
Source: RNAcentral
CAAUAAGUUAAGUAAGGGCGUAUGGCGGAUGCCUAGGCUCUCAGAGACGACGAAGGACGUGAUAAGCUGCGAAAAGCUACGGGGAGGGGCACAUACCUUAUAAUCCGUAGAUCUCCGAAUGGGGCAACCCGGCACAGUGAAGCUGUGUCACCAUGUAAAUGGGGUAAACCCGGUGAACUGAAACAUCUAAGUAACCGGAGGAAGAGAAAACAAUAGUGAUUCCGUUAGUAGUGGCGAGCGAACGCGGAUUAGCCCAAACCAGUGUUGUUACGGCAAUACUGGGGUUGUAGGACCACAAUAUUUGAUGCUAAUUGAAUUAGAACUGUUUGGAAAGACAGACCGAAGAGGGUGAUAGUCCCGUAUAAGUAAGAUUAGUUAUUGAUAGUGGUAUCCUGAGUAGUGCGGGACACGAGUAAUCCUGUAUGAAUCCACCGGGACCAUCCGGUAAGGCUAAAUACUCCUGAGAGACCGAUAGUGAACUAGUACCGUGAGGGAAAGGUGAAAAGAACCCUAAGUAAGGGAGUGAAAGAGAUCCUGAAACCGUACGCCUACAAGCGGUCGGAGCAUAUUUAUAUGUGACGGCGUGCCUUUUGCAUAAUGAGCCUACGAGUUACUGUUUCUAGCAAGGUUAAGUAUUUAAGAUACGGAGCCGUAGCGAAAGCGAGUCUGAAUAGGGCGAUUUAGUUAGUAGUAGUAGACGCGAAACCGAGUGAUCUACCCAUGGGCAGGUUGA